CAAAUGGCGACGGGGAAGUCGAUGCAAGUUCCAUGUGUCCAAAUGCAGCGGGUUUCAGGCACAACGGGGGCGCCUCACGGAGCAGAUUAGAAGUUCAAAUACCGCUGGCGGAGCAAAAAUAAACGCACCGUUACUUGAAGCUGCUGCCGGCUAUAAGAAACUGAGCAAGCUCCGUGCGCAUAUGCCCACUGAUGUGACCUGGAGGUAAGUUAUCUUGCUGAUGUGUUAGAUUUACUUCUUUGUCCCACUUCGGUGCUUCAAGAUACUGAAUGCUAAACCGUUGUGCUGUAAAUUUUGUAUUCUAGGUGAAAAGAUCUAAGAACAUGCGUAUAGGACAUAUGAUGUGCUUCAUAUGCGUAUGUACUUGUCGAUGUGGUGUUACUUGUACGAUGUCGUGAUUGUUGAACAUGUUUUACGUGUUCUUGACGCCUGCCUAAUUUGUUCCGUUAAAAUCUGUUCCAGCAGAGAUGGUCACUUCUGGGCACACCAUCCUUCCUGGCCAAGUUGCGUGGAAAGGCAUCCAAGACACGCAUGGCCUUGGAUCACUUGCUGAAAGAAGACCCAGGAGGGGGCAUCUCUUUUACAUGGCUCCUCGUGACACAGAGAGUAUACUGUGUAUCAGCCCUGCAGGGGCAGCAAGCUGAAGAACAGAGCCACAACCUACGAAGAAGUUCUGGGGAUUGUUUCGAAAGCAGCAGAAGUAUUCAACAGACUUCACAGAUUUUUCCACCCUUUCUCUGUAUGUACAAUAAAUGCU
Molecule: long non-coding RNA, 757 nt
Organism: Ornithodoros turicata
Lineage: Eukaryota; Metazoa; Arthropoda; Arachnida; Ixodida; Argasidae
Exons: 5
Source: RefSeq, a predicted model, not a curated record